AAUGCGAGGAAUGCACCAGGGGCAGAGUCCACACAGCCCGCCGCGGCUGCCCUAGCGCCUUCCCUCCCCAGCUCUCGCCGCGCAGCCAGAGGUCACCGGAGCAUCUUCGGAGCUGGAGCUUCAGUUUCAACGACUCACCCGAGAACUGGAAGUGGAAAGGCAGAUUGUUGCCAGUCAGCUAGAAAGAUGUAGGCUUGGAGCAGAAUCACCAAGCAUCGCCAGCACCAGCUCAACUGAGAAGUCAUUUCCUUGGAGAUCAACAGAUUUGCCAAAUACUGGUGUAGGCAAACCUAGAGUUUCUGACGCUGUCCAGCCCAACAACUAUCUCAUCAGGACAGAGCCAGAACAAGGAACCCUCUAUUCACCAGAACAGACAUCUCUCCAUGAAAGUGAGGGAUCAUUGGGUAACUCAAGAAGUUCAACACAAAUGAAUUCUUAUUCCGACAGUGGAUACCAGGAAGCAGGGAGUUUCCACAACAGCCAGAACGUGAGCAAGGCAGACAACAGACAGCAGCAUUCAUUCAUAGGAUCAACUAACAACCAUGUGGUGAGGAAUUCAAG
RNAcentral lists this small RNA (561 nucleotides) under Pan troglodytes (chimpanzee). RNAcentral describes it as "processed transcript". The record is from RNAcentral. Lineage: Eukaryota; Metazoa; Chordata; Mammalia; Primates; Hominidae.